GGCAGCCCUGUGAUUGACUCCCAGAAAAAUAACUACUUCAUGAAGGGCUUCUUCAGCUGAAGUCUAGUUUUUCAAACAUAAAUAAUCGAAAAAUGCUUCAAAAUUAAAAAGGAGGCUUCCUCUGGUUAUGUCUUUUGUUUUGUAUAUGUUUUAUUUAAACAGUCGAAGCAAACUUGGUAAUUGUGCAACGAAGAAAAGUGUGACAGACAGAUAGAUACACAGAGUAAUUACUAUAGGGCGCAACUAAUUUUUUUUAUGGCGGAG
Molecule: long non-coding RNA, 264 nt
Filed under: Mytilus galloprovincialis (Mediterranean mussel)
Lineage: Eukaryota; Metazoa; Mollusca; Bivalvia; Mytilida; Mytilidae
Source: RNAcentral